This 608-nucleotide unclassified non-coding RNA is filed under the name Hevea brasiliensis (rubber tree). Lineage: Eukaryota; Viridiplantae; Streptophyta; Magnoliopsida; Malpighiales; Euphorbiaceae. The record is from RNAcentral.
GGCAAGACUAGUUGAUUUGUUGCUUAAGUGAAUGGUAAAGAUUCUAAAGAAUGCACAGCUUCAUAUACAUCAUGCGCUUUUUGGCUUGUUGCAUGCUUGUGGAAGCACCUACCGGAGAGAGACUCGUGCUAAUGGAAAGAUUUUUUCAUUUCACAUCUCUGGUAGCAGAUGAGGUAGCACAAAUUUUGUGCUAUGCAUAUGGUCUUGCGAAAAAAUGUCGUUUAAACAUGAAAUCAUCUAGUGGAAGACAGACGUCGAUCCCUGCCGUGGAGGACUAAAGAGCUGACAGAUCUUGGCUCUGCUCUUUUUAAUGCAUAACUGCUAGUAUGGAAAUGCAUGGCAAAUAUGGCAACCACAAGGAACUUAGAUAAACUUGUGUUAAAAUUUCAAGUUAAUGGGUUUGACUUCCCAACUAUACAAAUACAGUGCAGGAUAGCAGGAUUUUCUUAAAUCGAUAACUAUUGGCUUUAUGCACAGCAGGGCAGACAGUAUAUAGCGUACCACUCUUUUGACUCUCUGUAUACAAUUUGAAUCACAAUCGCAACUGUUUAUCCCACCCAACUGGUGCCCUGAUUAGACAAAUUCCAGCUGCUUGAAAAGCCCUGGUG